Molecule: unclassified non-coding RNA, 205 nt
Filed under: uncultured fungus
Lineage: Eukaryota; Fungi
Description: sequence contains ITS1
Source: RNAcentral
GUGUUUUUAUCUCAAAUAAACAUACAAUGACUUUUAGACGUGUGUAAAGAUCAGCGGCGAGCCGUUACCCAGCUCGCCACCGUGUGUGUGCACAGGGGUGGAUAUAUGCUCCCUCAGCGUGCAGCCCGAAGGCGCACAGCGUCGGAAUGAAGAGCCGUGAGGCCCAAACACAUUAAUGAUCCUUCCGCAGGUUCACCUACGGAAA